CCGUAGGGUAGCCUGGUAUCCUGCUGGCUUCGGGGGCCAGUGACCCGAGUUCAAAUCUCGGCGGCCCCA
Molecule: transfer RNA, 69 nt
Filed under: Archaeoglobus profundus
Lineage: Archaea; Methanobacteriati; Methanobacteriota; Archaeoglobi; Archaeoglobales; Archaeoglobaceae
Description: tRNA-Pro
Rfam family: tRNA
About the family: Transfer RNA (tRNA) molecules are approximately 80 nucleotides in length. Their secondary structure includes four short double-helical elements and three loops (D, anti-codon, and T loops).
Source: RNAcentral